GCAGUGGAGCGAAAUAUCUACAGAGUUACAGACGCACUAUCGACAAGUCUCCCGCAAUCCACUCAACCACUCUACUCAAGCCUGACGCUUCCUCCCUGAUAUUGAUACGCGGCCGCCGCCUCGCUCCUCCCCCAGACCACGCCGCCGCCGCCCCGCUCCUCCUACCGGCUCCGCGCUCCGUUGCCCCGCUCCUCCCGCCGACGCGCGUCACACCAAGCACACCCAUCUCGUCUGCGGCUACGAGCAUGCGACCAUGGCAGCUUCUUCUUCCAAAUCCACCACCGCAUUCAUCGAUUCCGUGGCCGAGCUUCCGGAGAUUACUAGCGGAUUUGGGAGGCGUGGGGAGAAAAGGAAGGAGAAAGACCACUCUGCAGAGAGAGAGAGAGAGGGGCAAAAGAGCCAUCCGUGCGUGUUGACCACCAGACGGAGGUAGGGGAGAGGAGGGGUCUGGGCGGCGCUGCUCCUCUGUGCGCCGCUUUCGUCCAGGAGCCAGGGAUUGAGGAGGGACCCGCGCAUCCGUGCAACACGAACAUCUCGCCUGUAGCGCCCUCGUCAGCGGUCCAGCAAAUCGCCGGUCAGCAUCUUGAGCCCAAUAACGCACGCAUGCGACUUCCUGCACUCGAAUCGUCGGAUAUGGGGGCGUAUUGGAGAGUUGAUGUUGGUUCCCCGCAGGUUUUUUGGGGCAUGUGGGUCUUUAAUUUGUGGACGACGGCGAGAAGCGCAGCGAGGUUACGGUGCAGUACCUCACUGUAGAUUCCCCUCCCGCUCUUCGUCCACAGAUUGAGGCGUUGUGAACCAGUUUUUGGAUUUGCCAAAGUGCGUGUGUUGAGUUGCUGCAGGCGUGAGCAUGAGUUGCAGGAAGAUGUGGUAUGAGUUCGUCAGAGUUUGCCGUACGAUAGUUGGUAGAUCCUUUCCCACAAAGCGUGUAUUUUGUUGUUGUACAAAAACUUGCCUAACUAUUGAUUUGUAGUUGCCUGAAAUGUUCGUUAGUUUUGCCAUCUCAUAGAGGUGCUACAAAAACUUGAUGGAAAUUUUGAUUACUCAGAACCCAGAAACUUUGUUGCACACCAAUGCGCUCAUGGAGAUAUGAACUAGCCUACUUUCAUAUCUACCCACAGCUUGCCUAAUGUUUUUGUAUAUCUGCACAAAGCUUGCCUAACGAUUUUGUUAGCUGGUUGCCUGAUAUGGUUCAAAACUUGUUAGUUUCUCGAAGGAUGAGUCCAUCCAGAGGAGGAGGCAGAGCAUCCAAAGGAUCGACCCUGCGCCUCACGCAGGGUGAGUCCCCCGCCCUCCCUAUCGUUUCUUGAAGUAGCUGAUGCAGAUUCAUCCCGAUUUUUUGACGUGAUUUUUGUUCGGUGAGAGUUUGUCGCUAGCGGGGCAGGGGUGAUUUGAAUUGGUCACCUUGAUUCCGCGAGAAGCGUUUUUGUCAUCUCCAAUCCAUAGUUGGUCAGCCAAGGAAAGCAUUGCUGGCAUGAUGUCUUGUUGUAUCUUGUUGUACUAGAGAAUGUGAUUGUUUCCGUUGCAUAUGUCGCUGAGAAGUGCCGCAGCUGCAUCCAUCUCGAGACCAUUAUCGUUUCUAUGGUUUGCUGUCCCAGGGAAGAGCAACAAUGAAUUUCCAGUAUCAUUUGGAUAGUAAGAGGAAGGGGAGAACAAAUCUGCUUUUUUUCACUGCAAGUGGGGCUGUAUUUGAAUUUCCAGUAUUUUUUUCGCUUUAUCACGUUUUGCCUCAAAACAAUGCAAUACUUGCCCCAUUUUUCUGUCUGAAAUGUUUUUCACAGGCAAAAAAAUGGCUGGGAAAAGCAAAAAGGGCGUUCAACAAGAUCCCCAAUAGUUAACCCCGAUGCUAAUUCAUCUCCUGUCAUUGAAGAGCAGCAAACAAAGUCUUUUCUAUAUGUGGGGAGAGGCGGGCAUGGCGGAAUUUGUUGGAGAUUUUGGGAGGGCUGAGAGAGGGGACCUGUGGUUUUGCUGUUGAAUCGACCGGUGGUGGUGUUGAAUCUCCUCCUGGCGACGCAUGCCUCGACUGGCAGGGCCUACAUGUGGCACAGUUCCAAGGGCUUCCGUUUGGGACGACGACCUCAUACUCAAGGUCAUGAGGAAGGAAAAGAAGGGUCCAGGGGAGUACAACAAGCUGCGACCCGGCAGGACUUUGCCUUGUAUGGCAUUUUGCCUGAAACUUGCACAAGAAGCUUCACAGGAAAACAGGCUUCCCAAGCCACUACCAGACCCACUAAAAAACCCUCAUCAAGCUAUCAAAGUAAUGCCCAUGCAAGGAAACCUCUACCAGCUACCAUCAACUAUACUUCGGGGCACAUUACAAAACAGUGCGGGAGAUUAAAGAAAUGAGGGCGAACACAACGGGGGGAAAUUUUGCACCCACAACGAGCAAUGGUCCUUCAGAUGGGGUGGAACCAGGGGAAGGGAUUCAUUGCCUAUGUCCUCCUUUUGCGUAGGAAGGUGUGGGGACAGGUGGGGAGAGAAGAAAGGAGGGAGGCGGCCAAUGGGCGCAGAGGGGCAGCUCAGAGUCAGCUUUGGUGAAGCACGUGAUCGGGAGAUUGGGAGGAGAGAAGCUGGGUUGACGGUGGGUUGACGGGGAACGUGGGAGGCAGUCAACCCUUUACUUUCCAAAUCUGGAUUGAGGGAGACCGAACCUUACCUAAUACGGGAGGCACACGUUUGCCCGCUAGACGCGUCCAAAAAAAGAGGGUUUGAUUUUUAGCCACUACUAACUUUACACUUUGAUAAUUUAAAAUGUUUUUGCGAACCCACUUAAGUUGCAUGGUUAGAGGGAUUGUGGUAUCCCUAGCUCAUCAGGUUCAAGUCCUGGUGCUCGCAUUAUUCCUGGAUUUAUUUCAGAAUUUUUGGCGAUGCGCUUUCAGUGGGAGGAGACGUCCCGUCGACGACGAGGCGUCUAUGGUGACUUCGUAAAUCUCAAGAUAAUACACUGACUCAGUUUCUUAUUUCAGGAUUUCCGACGAUACGCUUUCAGUGGGAGUAGACGUUUCCGUCGACGACGAGGCGCCUAUGAUGACUUCGUAAAUCUUAAAAUGAUAUACUUUCUUAUUUCAGGAUUUCCGGCGAUACACUUUCAGUGGCAGGAGAUGUUCCCGUCGACGAUGAGGCGCCUACAGUAACUUCGUAAAUCUCAAGAUGAUAUGCCGGCUCAGUUUCUCAAAAAUGCUCAUAGGGAUAGGGUGUGCGUGUGUGUUCAUAGAGGACCGCGCGCUCCCAUGUGCCAACCCCUCUUCUCUUUGAAUCAACAUGAGGAUCUGACCCUUUCGCUACCGCGAGGGCCCAUGAUGGUAGGGUUGAACAAGCUACCGUCGGAGACCACGAUGGUAGGGUUGAACAAGCUACCGUCGGAGACCACGAUGGUAGGGUAAUGGCAGCCUCCGUCAAACUACCGGUUGCAGCCUGACGUGUCGUAACUCCUCUAUCGCCGAGGCAGAUGGUGGUAGGUUAGCUAACAUUACCGCCACCUCCCUCAGCGGUAGGGUGUGACAGGCCUGCGCGAGCGCCAGCUUGCUGUGACAGAAAAUGCAGGUGUUUUUGCGGUAGGAUUUCACAGCCUACCGC
Long non-coding RNA from Triticum aestivum (bread wheat), 3573 nucleotides. RefSeq lists it as uncharacterized. The transcript is spliced from 9 exons. NCBI's taxonomy places the organism in Eukaryota, Viridiplantae, Streptophyta, Magnoliopsida, Poales, Poaceae. The record is from RefSeq and is a predicted model, not a curated record.